AUUCUAGUGGUUUCCUUGUUAGUGCAACAUAAUUUGAAGUACGUCAUUAGCAAUGCUCAUUGUUUUGGUGGGAUUGGUUGGGCCAUGACAGAGUUCAGUUGGGAUGUCAAGUAUGCUGGCCUUCAAAUCAUGGCUUCCAAGAAAGCUGCAUUCUUUUCGGCCUUGGAAGUUGACAGGGUAAUGGGAAUGGAUCAUUCGUCUAAAUUCCAGGAUGGCAUUUGAUCUCGUGGGCUUUGCUGAAGCUGAUGAGAAUUUGAACGUGGAAUCGCCCGUCCUGUUUUAUGCUGGCUUUGAUAGAAAUGAUUGGAGAGAUGCUGAAACUGAAUAAAAUGAGACAGUGCAAGCUGUUCUUGGUGUUUGAUUAUUGUGCUAAGGAGGGAAUACAUGUGUUUAAAUUUUAGACGUGUUUUUGGUUGAAUUUUGCAUUUGUUUGGUUGAAUAAAAGGGAGUGUUUUUGCGUGAA
Molecule: long non-coding RNA, 463 nt
Organism: Populus euphratica (Euphrates poplar)
Lineage: Eukaryota; Viridiplantae; Streptophyta; Magnoliopsida; Malpighiales; Salicaceae
Exons: 2
Source: RefSeq, a predicted model, not a curated record